CGGCUGCGGGGAGAGGGCGGGGGCGAUGCUGCCGGAGCCGCCGCCGCCGCCGCCGCCUCGAUGAGAGCCGCGCCGCACCGCGCAUAGCCGCACAGGCUGACAGGCAGAAGGACCGACUUCCCUCUCCCAGGCAUCCUCCCUGGGCUGCCGGGAGGCGGCGGCGGAGGAGGAGGAGGAAAAGGGAGAGAAGAAGGAGAGCAGGAAGGCGAGGAGGUGGACCUGGAUCCGUUUCUUUCGGCCAGGACGCGAGCGGCCCCAGCCUCCGCUACCCGCCAGCGCCGUCCCCUAUCCAUCAGCCCUCCUGCGCCCACCCGCGACCCCGG
RNAcentral lists this long non-coding RNA (323 nucleotides) under Marmota monax (woodchuck). Lineage: Eukaryota; Metazoa; Chordata; Mammalia; Rodentia; Sciuridae. The record is from RNAcentral.